CCGGGGAGCUCGUGGGAGCAGCUGUUUUCUGAUAUGGGCAAAGGGAGCUAUUUAUACUGGAAGCUGGAUGAAAAUCAGCCAGAAGGGAGUCGCAGCCAUCAUUGAUGCUCCUGUCCACCGAACACCGGGAACGCAGGGGAAAGGACCCCGUAUCCUUGGAUGACAGUCCUUCUCCUCCUCACUGCCUAGACAGUCGAUGGAGCAGACACUAACUGGAUACCAGGUGCUGGGUGGCCACUGAGCUCAAGAAACGAGGCCCUUCUCCUUGGGAUGGUCCAGGAGGGACAGGAUCGUGGGAACGACCAUACGAUCCAUCCUGAGACUGAGGGCUGUGUGGGAACAUGGGAACAGCCAGCAUGAGGGAGGCAGUCGUGUCUCGGGAUGACAAGGGAGUGUCACUGGGAAGGAGAGGUGGAAGUGAGCCACAAGACCACGACAGCUCACCCAACGUUGAGGGGUGGGCAAGAGAGGCCUGGCUGAGAGGGGCAGAGGGACUAGAGGAGAAGCAAACAGAGGAGGAGCCAGACCAGCCAGAGGGGCUGCUGAGGGACUCACAGGAGGAGGCUGGACUGGGGAGUGGGGGCAUGUCGCCAAGUGUCACCUGCACAUUCAGAAUGGGGCCAACUGCUGAAUGACUCUACCUCUAGGCAGGAGAAGCAGCAGAGUCUUCAAAGGAGGGAAGGGACACUUGACCCUUCUCCAACCACUUCCACCAACUCCUUGGCCACCCACUUACUAUCCGAACCCACACCCCCAGCGCUGCACCCUUCUCUCCUCUCUUCCCAAACACCCGUCUUUUAUUAAACAGAACAAUUUAAGGGGUCUUGGGUCUGGUCUGGUUGGGAUCUGAUUUUCACCUAACCCCGAGGGCCUUACCUGUCACCCUUUCCCCAGAUGUUUUCUUAAGGACAGUUUGUUCCCUGUGAAGAACCCAGUUCCAGAGGUGAGAAGUCAUUUUCCCACGCCCCACAUGAUGGAGCAAGGCGGCAGCUGGAACCCAGGACUGUACUCAGCACCACAGGACUGAGAAAAGCCAUCACUGGGGCUCAUGUUGGGAGGAAAGACUGGGCCUGACGGCACAGCCUAGAAUUUGAGCACUUGCCCAGCUGGGUGGCCACAGUCUGUGAGUACAAGACCAAAAAGAACCCAUCUGUGCAGCCAGGGACAGGAGAGGAGAUUCCAGACCACCUCCCGGGAGGAACUGACACCCUUGGCAACCAACCGGGUUUCCAACGGAGAGGACAGAGGCAGCAGAGGACCGUCCAGCUGCACUUACGGCAUUGGGAGGAAUGGGGCCAACCGCGGGAUGAUCAGGAUGGGAAGAGAAGCUAUUUGGAAGAAAGGAGAAAAUGAAUGGAGGAGAGAGACACGCACCCAGGGCUGAGAUGGUGUGAGGCAGCGGAGGGCUCUGCAGGCCUGAGUUCAGAAUGAUCUUGCCCACAGCAUCUCCUCCAGCAGAGACCUCUGUCCUUGGCCCGGACUUGGUGUUGAAUUCUUGGUGUUCCUUGUAUUUCCUCGGGGAUGGGAAACUUCCUGGACAGCUCUGGUGUGUUCCUACCCCUUGGGGGCUUGGUCAGAUUCUCCGUUUGUCCUUGGCACUAGGCAAAGCCUGUCCGCGGAAUGCAGAUGUAGUCCCUUCCCUCUCUGGGCGUGUUCUCAGUGAGGGGUUAGUAGAGGGACCAGGAACACAGAGCUGGAUGCCUCGGGCUCAGCCCGCAUGCAGCCACCCCCAGCACAUACUCAAAACAGCUGCAGGGGCAUGCGCAGGCGCUGGGUUUGAUCGUCAGCACCACAUAAAAAUAAAAUAAAGAUGUUGUGUCC
Molecule: long non-coding RNA, 1821 nt
Filed under: Marmota monax (woodchuck)
Lineage: Eukaryota; Metazoa; Chordata; Mammalia; Rodentia; Sciuridae
Source: RNAcentral